RNAcentral lists this ribosomal RNA (419 nucleotides) under uncultured bacterium. RNAcentral describes it as "bacterial SSU rRNA". It matches the Rfam family "Bacterial small subunit ribosomal RNA", at positions 38 to 449 of the family's 1533-position model. The record is from RNAcentral.
GGCGGCGUGCCUAACACAUGCAAGUCGAGCGGGAUCCAUCCAGUAGCAAUACUGGUGAAGAUCUAGCGGCGAACGGGUGAGUAACACGUGAGAAACCUGCCCCGAAGUCUGGGAUAACCCGAGGAAACUCGAGCUAAUACCGGAUGUCCUUCUCUGGUCGCAUGGCCUAGGAAGGAAAGAUUUAUCGCUUCGGGAGGGUCUCGCGGCCUAUCAGCUAGUUGGUGAGGUAACGGCUCACCAAGGCGACGAUCCGUAACUGGUCUGAGAGGAUGAUCAGUCACACUGGAACUGAGACACGGUCCAGACUCCUACGGGAGGCAGCAGUGGGGAAUAUUGGACAAUGGGCGAAAGCCUGAUCCAGCCAUGCCGCGUGUGUGAAGAANGUCUUCGGAUUGUAAAGCACUUUAAGUUGGGAGGAA